Molecule: unclassified non-coding RNA, 345 nt
Filed under: soil metagenome
Description: partial contains 5.8S ribosomal RNA, internal transcribed spacer 2, and large subunit ribosomal RNA
Rfam family: 5.8S ribosomal RNA (bases 1-120)
Source: RNAcentral
GAUGAAGAACGCAGCGAAAUGCGACAAGUAAUGUGAAUUGCAGAAUUCCGUGAAUCAUCGAAUCUUUGAACGCACAUUGCGCCCCCUGGUAUUCCGGGGGGCAUGCCUGUCCGAGCAUCAUUGCUGCCCUCAAGCACGGCUUGUGUGUUGGGCCUCCGUCCUCCUCCCGGGGGACGGGCCCGAAAGGCAGCGGCGGCACCGCGUCCGGUCCUCGAGCGUAUGGGGCUUCGUCACCCGCUCUUGUAGGCCCGGCCGGCGCUUGCCGACACAUCAAUCUUUUUUCCAGGUUGACCUCGGAUCAGGUAGGGAUACCCGCUGAACUUAAGCAUAUCAAUAAGCGGAGGA